AGCAGCCGCGGUAAUUCCAGCUCCAAUAGCGUAUAUUAAAGUUGUUGCAGUUAAAAAGCUCGUAGUUGAAUUUCGGGAUCAAUACGUCGGUCGUGCUUUCGGGUACGUACUGGCGUCAUUGGUUUCUCCUUUCUGACGAACCAUGAUGUCAUUAAUUUGGUAUUAUGGGGAGUUAGGACUGUUACUUUGAAAAAUUAGAGUGUUUAAAGCAGGCAUUAGCUUGAAUACAUUAGCAUGGAAUAAUGAAAUAGGACGUUCGAUCCUAUUUUGUUAGUUUUUAGGAUCAACGUAAUGAUUAAUAGGGAUAGUUGGGGGCAUUAGUAUUCAAUUGUCAGGGGUGAAAUUCUUGGAUUUAUUGAAGAC
This 363-nucleotide ribosomal RNA is filed under the name uncultured Glomus. Its description in RNAcentral is "SSU rRNA". It matches the Rfam family "Eukaryotic small subunit ribosomal RNA", at positions 569 to 936 of the family's 1831-position model. Lineage: Eukaryota; Fungi; Glomeromycota; Glomeromycetes; Glomerales; Glomeraceae. The record is from RNAcentral.